RNAcentral lists this ribosomal RNA (116 nucleotides) under Vagococcus xieshaowenii. Lineage: Bacteria; Bacillati; Bacillota; Bacilli; Lactobacillales; Enterococcaceae. The record is from RNAcentral.
UGCGGUAAUGAUGGCAAGAAGGAUACACCUGUUCCCAUGUCGAACACAGAAGUUAAGUUUCUUAGCGCCGAUGGUAGUUGGGGGUUUCCCCCUGUGAGAGUAGGACAUAGCCGUGC